RNAcentral lists this ribosomal RNA (490 nucleotides) under uncultured bacterium. RNAcentral describes it as "partial 16S ribosomal RNA". It matches the Rfam family "Bacterial small subunit ribosomal RNA", at positions 30 to 507 of the family's 1533-position model. The record is from RNAcentral.
AUUGAACGCUGGCGGCAGGCCUAACACAUGCAAGUCGAACGGUAACAGGAAGAAGCUUGCUUCUUUGCUGACGAGUGGCGGACGGGUGAGUAAUGUCUGGGAAACUUCCUGAUGGAGGGGGAUAACUACUGGAAACGGUAGCUAAUACCGCAUAACGUCGCAAGACCAAAGAGGGGGACCUUCGGGCCUCUUGCCAUCGGAUGUGCCCAGAUGGGAUUAGCUAGUAGGUGGGGUAACGGCUCACCUAGGCGACGAUCCCUAGCUGGUCUGAGAGGAUGACAAGCCACACUGGAACUGAGACACGGUCCAGACUCCUACGGGAGGCAGCAGUGGGGAAUAUUGCACAAUGGGCGCAAGCCUGAUGCAGCCAUGCCGCGUGUAUGAAGAAGGCCUUCGGGUUGUAAAGUACUUUCAGCGGGGAGGAAGGGAGUAAAGUUAAUACCUUUGCUCAUUGACGUUACCCGCAGAAGAAGCACCGGCUAACUCCGUG